UAGCUUAACGAAGUUUUAUGUUAAGUAAUUUCUGCCCUAUGAAAUUUAAAUGGCCGCGGUAUUUUGACCGUGCAAAGGUAGCAUAAUCAUUUGCCUCUUAAUUGGUGGCUAGUAUGAAGGAAAAAAUAAGGUUCUAGCUGUCUCUUUAGCAAAAUAAAAAUUGCUGUCGACAUGAAGAAGUGUCGGUACAAAAAAAAGACAAGAAGACCCUAUUAAGCUUUACUUAUACUUUUCGUUUUUUUUCUUAGGAAGAACAAAAAAACGAAAAGUAUUAAGUUUGGUUGGGGUGACUGAAAAGGAAAAAAUCCUUUUUUAUAUUUUAUUAUUUUUCGUUUGAUAAUGAUCCAAUUCUUUUGACUAUCAGAACAAGUUACUAUAGGGAUAACAGCGUAAUUUUCUCGGAGAGUUCUUAUUUAUGAAAAAGUUUGCGACCUCGAUGUUGACUUGUUAUUUCCUGAUAAGGUGUAGAGGCUGUUAGGGUUAGUCUGUUCGACUAUUAAAAUAAC
RNAcentral lists this ribosomal RNA (506 nucleotides) under Siphonenteron nakanoi. RNAcentral's name for it is "partial 16S rRNA". It matches the Rfam family "Bacterial large subunit ribosomal RNA", at positions 1827 to 2597 of the family's 2925-position model. The record is from RNAcentral. Lineage: Eukaryota; Metazoa; Nemertea; Pilidiophora; Heteronemertea; Lineidae.